This 71-nucleotide transfer RNA is filed under the name Beta vulgaris subsp. vulgaris (sugar beet). It matches the Rfam family "tRNA". Rfam says of the family: Transfer RNA (tRNA) molecules are approximately 80 nucleotides in length. The record is from Rfam by way of RNAcentral. Lineage: Eukaryota; Viridiplantae; Streptophyta; Magnoliopsida; Caryophyllales; Amaranthaceae.
GCCGAUGUAGCUCAGUGGUAGAGCAGCGGUAUCGUAAACCGCUGGUCGUCGGUUCAAUCCGACCAUCGGCU